GGGGGCGCACUGGCUUCGACUCAUCGUUGGAAGCGCAGGCGGCAUGUCGAGGACGGUUCGUUGGCCUCGUUAAAAACCGGACCAAAACAAAUAAACGCAGAUCACCAAGAUCUCGCUCUCGCGGCUUAAUUGACCGUGACGUUUGGAGUUGGACGCCUGCUAC
Molecule: transfer-messenger RNA, 163 nt
Filed under: Verrucomicrobiota bacterium
Lineage: Bacteria; Pseudomonadati; Verrucomicrobiota
Description: Verrucomicrobia bacterium partial transfer-messenger RNA
Rfam family: transfer-messenger RNA
About the family: Bacterial tmRNA, also known as 10Sa RNA or SsrA, is named for its dual tRNA and mRNA-like properties. Its role is to liberate the mRNA from a stalled ribosome.
Source: RNAcentral